Telopea speciosissima is the source of this 3424-nucleotide RNA transcript. It is a transcript of the gene named putative GTP diphosphokinase RSH1, chloroplastic, with no coding region annotated. The record is from RefSeq and is a predicted model, not a curated record. NCBI's taxonomy places the organism in Eukaryota, Viridiplantae, Streptophyta, Magnoliopsida, Proteales, Proteaceae. The transcript has 24 exons.
UAAAACCGAAGGGGUUGUGUUUGUGUGGCCUUGGCUGAGCGCUCUCACUUCUACUUCUCUCCAUUAUCCUUUCCUUCGUCGACCUCUGCUUCGCUUACCAACGCUUAACAUCUCGUAGAUCUUCUUCUUCGUCGGAAAAUAGACCUUCUUCUUGUUCGAAAUCGAAUCCGAAGGGCUUCCGAACCGAAAGCAAAGAUAUAAAGAAUCGACUUGUGGACGUUUCGAGACGAUGAGCUGAAUGAGUUAACGGAUUAGCAAGAAUAUCUUCUUCUGCUUAUUUGAGAAGUUCUGAAUCGGCUUCGUGAUUUCACGGAUUGUGUUCUUUUGUUGGUCCGAUUAUUUCUAUAUUUUCCCUUUCGUUCGAGUCGAUGGGAUUUCUUUACUCCGAUGCUUUAUUGUAGAAAAUGGCUUCUGCUCCUUCUAUGUCAGUCUCCGUAGAAUGCGUGAACCUCUGUAAGUUGUCGAAAGGGGAUGGGACUAGCAGAUAUGAUUGUACCGUCCUCUCUUGCGCCUGGAAGACUCCGAGGGCCCUGACUGGCUUCCUCGCGAGUACUGCCCAUCAUUCUCACUGUUCUUCGUUGUUGGAUGGGCGGGCGGGAAGUCGAAACCGGACUAAAUCCUCGUGCUGGAGAUGUGAAGCCUCUGAUGUUGGGGACUCUGGCAACAUAGAAACUUCCUAUUCUGCAUUUUCCAGGAGGCUAAUUGGAUCUUGUUUGCUUUAUACUGAAUGUAAACGAUGGCAGUUGAGCUGUUCUACCUCUUCUUCAGAAUUCUCUGAUGCCAUAUCUCCUCAAAUGUUGUGGGAGGAUCUUAAACCGACUAUUUCAUAUCUUCCACCAAAAGAGUUGAAAUUGAUCCGUGAUGCUUUGGAGCUGGCUUUUGAGGCUCAUGAUGGUCAGAAAAGAAGAAGUGGAGAGCCCUUUAUCAUUCAUCCAGUAGAAGUUGCACGUAUACUUGGAGAACUUGAACUGGACUGGGAAUCCAUUGCUGCUGGAUUAUUACAUGACACAGUGGAAGACACAAAUGUUGUUACUUUUGAAAGCAUUGAGGAGGAGUUCGGUGCCACUGUGCGUCACAUCGUAGAAGGAGAAACUAAGGUGUCCAAGCUGGGUAAACUUCAAUGUAAAGAUGUUAACAGCUCAGCACAAGAUGUCAAAGCUGACGAUCUGCGUCAAAUGUUUCUAGCCAUGACAGAGGAGGUGCGGGUUAUCAUCGUCAAAUUAGCUGACAGGUUACACAAUAUGCGAACGCUUUCACACAUGCCCCCACAUAAGCAGUCCAGCAUUGCAUUGGAGACAUUGCAGGUCUUUGCCCCACUUGCAAAGUUACUGGGGAUGUACCAGAUUAAGUCGGAGCUGGAAAAUCUGUCCUUCAUGUACACAAAUGCUGAAGAUUAUGCAAAGAUUAAGAGAAGAAUUGCAAACCUGUAUAAAGAGCAUGAGAAAGAACUCAUAGAGGCCAAAAAGAUUUUAAUGAAAAAGAUUGAAGAUGAUCAGUUUUUGGAUCUAAUGACAGUGAAAACAAAUGUCCGCUUUGUAUGCAAAGAACCUUACAGUGUCUAUAAGGAAGUGCUGAAAUCUCAAGGUUCAAUAAAUGAGAUCAACCAAAUCGCACAGCUUCGUAUUAUCAUAAAACCAAAGCCAUGUGUUGGAGUAGGACCUCUGUGUAGUGCACAACAGAUAUGCUACCAUGUUCUUGGGCUGGUUCAUGGAAUCUGGACCCCUCUUCCUCGAGCUAUGAAAGACUAUAUUGCCACCCCAAAACCUAAUGGCUAUCAAAGUCUUCACACAACAGUAAUACCAUUUCUGUAUGAGAGUAUGUUUCGGCUUGAAGUUCAGAUAAGAACUGAAGAGAUGGAUCUGAUAGCUGAGAGAGGAAUUGCUGCUCACUACAAUGGGAGAGUAUUUGGUACUGGCUUAGUUGGACAUGCCCGGAAUGGGAAAAAUUCUAGAGGGAAAACCAUCUGUCUCAACAAUGCAAACAUUGCUCUCAGGAUUGGCUGGCUAAAUGCUAUCAGAGAAUGGCAAGAAGAGUUUGUUGGGAACAUGAGUUCUAGGGAGUUUGUUGAUACUAUCACAAGGGACCUGCUAGGGAGUCGCGUCUUUGUCUUUACUCCAAAAGGAGAGAUAAAAAACCUACCUAAGGGAGCUACGGUGGUUGAUUAUGCUUAUAUGAUACACACCGAGAUUGGGAACAAAAUGGUGGCUGCAAAGGUCAAUGGUAAUCUUGUCUCUCCCAUGCAUGUACUUGCAAAUGCUGAAGUUGUGGAGAUAAUUACAUACAAUGCUCUCUCAAACAAAUCUUCUGUCCAAAGGCAUCAGCAGUGGUUGCAACAUGCAAAGACCCGAUCUGCUCGACACAAGAUUAUAAAAUUCUUGAGAGAACAAGCUGCACUAGCUGCUGCUGAAAUGAAGGCAGAUACUGUAAAUAACUCAGUUGCUGAUAUUGAGGAUGAGAGUACAUCGGUUGACUUAUCCAACUGUGUUGAAGAAAGCAACCCCAUUUGGAAGCAAAUCCUUGGGAAUGCUGCAGAAUUCUCUACUUUGGAGAGAAGCCAUGAAGAUGUCCUUCACAUUCAAAAUGGCAGUGUUAGAAUCCCUAAGGUCAAUGGCAACCAUAACAAGAAUGUGCAGCAUAUGAGUUUUAAGACCAAUGAAGAAUGGUUUCAAGGAAAUGGUUUCGCCAAGUUGAUCCAUACUAACAUUCCAAUGUACAAGGAAGUAUUGCCUGGUUUAGAAAGCUGGCAAGCUGGGAAGGUUGCCUCUUGGCACAACCUCGAAGGGCAUUCAAUUCUUUGGUUCUCUGUAGUAUGUAUCGAUCGAAGAGCUUUGGUAUUUUAAACUGAACAACCAAACUUCAGGUAUGAUGGCGGAUAUUUCAUCCAUAUUGACCACUGUGGGAAUUGCUAUUUGUUCGUGCGUUGCAGAGAUUGACAGAAGAAGAGGAAUGGGUGUGCUGUUAUUUCACAUUGAGGGUAGCUUUGGCAGUCUGAUUAAUGCUUGCUCAAGUGUAGACCUGAUUCCUGGUGUUCUAUGCUGGUCUACUGGUUGUAGCUGGCCAAGCUACAAUGGACAGACAUUUCUUGAAUGCUAACUUGUUAGGGGGCGAAACCCAUACUACAUAAAGUGAAUUAGGGUGUGAAUAGGAGAUUUUUGCUCAUGGGACCAGUAAUCUGGUAUGUUUUUGUAGUGGGUUUUGAGAUUAGUUACAUUCCUUGGUUCAUAUUUUUUGGUAAGCAAUUCUCAUUUAUUUUUUCAAAGCCCGGAGAGAUAUGCAGCAACAGCAGUUAAAUGAGCUUGUAUAUAGAGAAGAGUGCUAGGAAUUAGACAUUCUUUACUAUGGAUUUGUGUGAUUGUAAAUGCUCUUUCUUUCUUGCAAGGUGGUAAUACAAAAUAUUUAUACAACAGGUUAUAGACAUUCUUUA